Molecule: ribosomal RNA, 491 nt
Filed under: uncultured bacterium
Lineage: Bacteria
Description: partial 16S ribosomal RNA
Rfam family: Bacterial small subunit ribosomal RNA
Source: RNAcentral
GAUGAACGCUGUCUACAGGCUUAACACAUGCAAGUCGAGGGGAAACGACGGGGAAGCUUGCUUCCCCGGGCGUCGACCGGCGCACGGGUGAGUAACGCGUAUCCAACCUGCCUCUGACUGAGGGAUAACCCGUCGAAAGUCGGCCUAAUACCUCAUGGCAUCGUCUGCGGGCAUCCAACGACGAUUAAAGAUUUCAUCGGUCAGGGAUGGGGAUGCGUCUGAUUAGCUUGUUGGCGGGGUAACGGCCCACCAAGGCUACGAUCAGUAGGGGUUCUGAGAGGAAGGCCCCCCACAUUGGAACUGAGACACGGUCCAAACUCCUACGGGAGGCAGCAGUGAGGAAUAUUGGUCAAUGGGCGGGAGCCUGAACCAGCCAAGUAGCGUGCAGGAUGACGGCCCUAUGGGUUGUAAACUGCUUUUAUGCGGGGAUAAAGUGAGGGACGUGUCCUUCAUUGCAGGUACCGCAUGAAUAAGGACCGGCUAAUUCCGUG